Sphaerodactylus townsendi is the source of this 371-nucleotide non-coding RNA. Lineage: Eukaryota; Metazoa; Chordata; Lepidosauria; Squamata; Sphaerodactylidae. The record is from the annotation of a RefSeq genome assembly.
UCAUGGCCAUGAUCCUGCUCUUGUUUGCCUUGGCGACCAUUCCAAGACGGGCCUUUUCAGAUGUUCAGCUGGUAUCAUCUGGGCCAGGAACACUGAGACCUGGACAGAACCUCCAUCUGGUCUGCAAAGUGACAGGAUUCUCUAUCACUACCCAGGGUUAUGGUUGGAACUGGAUCCGUCAGGCUCCUGGGAAAGGUCUGGAAUGGGUUGCAUACAUAUACCCAAAGGAUGGGAGCAAAUACUACACCUCUUCUCUCCAAGGUCGUGUCACCGUUUCUGCAGACACCUCCAAGAACCAGUUCUCCCUCCAGCUGAACUCCCUGACAGCUGCCGACUCUGCAGUUUAUUUCUGUGCCCGAGACUCACAGUGA